This 504-nucleotide ribosomal RNA is filed under the name uncultured bacterium. Its description in RNAcentral is "bacterial SSU rRNA". It matches the Rfam family "Bacterial small subunit ribosomal RNA", at positions 29 to 507 of the family's 1533-position model. The record is from RNAcentral.
AACGAACGCUGGCGGCGUGCCUAACACAUGCAAGUCGUACGAGAAAAUCCGCUUCGGCGGGUGAGUAAAGUGGCGCACGGGUGAGUAACGCGUGGAUAAUCUGCCUUUAAGCGGGGAAUAACUUACCAAAAGGUGGGCUAAUACCCCAUAAAGCUAUGGAGCUCCGGUUUUCAUAGCCAAAGAGAGCCUCUGCAUGCAAGCCCUCACUUAGAGAUGAGUCCGCGUACCAUUAGCUAGUUGGUGGGGUAAUGGCCUACCAAGGCGACGAUGGUUAGCUGGUCUGAGAGGAUGAUCAGCCACACUGGAACUGAGACACGGUCCAGACUCCUACGGGAGGCAGCAGUGAGGAAUAUUGCGCAAUGGGGGCAACCCUGACGCAGCAACGCCGCGUGAGUGAGGAAGGUUUUCGGAUCGUAAAGCUCUGUCGGGUGGGAAGAAAUGUAUGGAGGUUAACAGCCUUUGUACUUGACGGUACCGCCAAAGGAAGCACCGGCUAACUCCGUG